AGCGAACGCUGGCGGCAGGCUUAACACAUGCAAGUCGAGCGGGCACCUUCGGGUGUCCGCGGCAGACGGGUGAGUAACACGUGGGAACGUACCCUUCGGUUCGGAAUAACGCUGGGAAACUAGCGCUAAUACCGGAUACGCCCUUAUGGGGAAAGGUUUACUGCCGAAGGAUCGGCCCGCGUCUGAUUAGCUAGUUGGUGGGGUAACGGCCUACCAAGGCGACGAUCAGUAGCUGGUCUGAGAGGAUGAUCAGCCACACUGGGACUGAGACACGGCCCAGACUCCUACGGGAGGCAGCAGUGGGGAAUAUUGGACAAUGGGCGCAAGCCUGAUCCAGCCAUGCCGCGUGAGUGAUGAAGGCCUUAGGGUUGUAAAGCUCUUUUGUCCGGGACGAUAAUGACGGUACCGGAAGAAUAAGCCCCGGCUAACUUCGUG
RNAcentral lists this ribosomal RNA (435 nucleotides) under uncultured bacterium. RNAcentral describes it as "partial 16S ribosomal RNA". It matches the Rfam family "Bacterial small subunit ribosomal RNA", at positions 29 to 507 of the family's 1533-position model. The record is from RNAcentral.